Molecule: ribosomal RNA, 490 nt
Filed under: uncultured bacterium
Lineage: Bacteria
Description: partial 16S ribosomal RNA
Rfam family: Bacterial small subunit ribosomal RNA
Source: RNAcentral
AUUGAACGCUGGCGGCAGGCCUAACACAUGCAAGUCGAACGGUAACAGGAAGCAGCUUGCUGCUUUGCUGACGAGUGGCGGACGGGUGAGUAAUGUCUGGGAAACUGCCCGAUGGAGGGGGAUAACUACUGGAAACGGUAGCUAAUACCGCAUAACGUCGCAAGACCAAAGAGGGGGACCUUAGGGCCUCUUGCCAUCGGAUGUGCCCAGAUGGGAUUAGCUAGUAGGUGGGGUAACGGCUCACCUAGGCGAUGAUCCCUAGCUGGUCUGAGAGGAUGACCAGCCACACUGGAACUGAGACACGGUCCAGACUCCUACGGGAGGCAGCAGUGGGGAAUAUUGCACAAUGGGCGCAAGCCUGAUGCAGCCAUGCCGCGUGUAUGAAGAAGGCCUUCGGGUUGUAAAGUACUUUCAGCGGGGAGGAAGGGAGUAAAGUUAAUACCUUUGCUCAUUGACGUUACCCGCAGAAGAAGCACCGGCUAACUCCGUG